RNAcentral lists this ribosomal RNA (253 nucleotides) under uncultured bacterium. Its description in RNAcentral is "partial 16S ribosomal RNA". It matches the Rfam family "Bacterial small subunit ribosomal RNA", at positions 524 to 776 of the family's 1533-position model. The record is from RNAcentral.
UACGGAGGGUGCAAGCGUUAUCCGGAUUUACUGGGUUUAAAGGGUGCGUAGGUGGGCAGGUAAGUCAGUGGUGAAAUCUCCGGGCUUAACCCGGAAACUGCCAUUGAUACUAUCCGUCUUGAAUUUCCUGGAGGUAAGCGGAAUAUGUCAUGUAGCGGUGAAAUGCUUAGAUAUGACAUAGAACACCAAUUGCGAAGGCAGCUUACUACGGGAACAUUGACACUGAGGCACGAAAGCGUGGGGAUCAAACAGG